ACGCUCGACACCUACGGGUGGCAGCAGUGGGGAAUAUUGCACAAUGGGGGAAACCCUGAUGCAGCGACGCCGCGUGGAGGAAGAAGGUCUUCGGAUUGUAAACUCCUGUUGUUGGGGAAAAAGAGGAUGGUACCCAACAAGGAAGUGACGGCUAACUACGUGCCAGCAGCCACGGUAAUCUGAGCGGGCUGGCAAGGC
RNAcentral lists this ribosomal RNA (198 nucleotides) under uncultured bacterium. Its description in RNAcentral is "partial 16S ribosomal RNA". It matches the Rfam family "Bacterial small subunit ribosomal RNA", at positions 328 to 539 of the family's 1533-position model. The record is from RNAcentral.